GUGCUACUUUUACAUUCGGCACCCCAUACUGCCGCUAGGAUUCUACUGAAUAUCUCAUAUAAUCUAUGAACAGAUUUAAGGUACUAACAACUAACAAAAAACAAUAACUUCUGAGUUAAGCUACAGUAUAGUCGGUGCUAACAAAGUGCACAAUUGCAGUGCUGGAAUAUCUGGAUUUAUUUUUCUUGUACAAAAUCAAUAUUUUAUCUUUAGUUUAUCAAACUGUGUUAAUAUGUUCCCACAAAAAAUAGCCUUUUACAUUUUUACUUUCCACAGAACUUGUCACAGCCUGGACUUUUAUGUUGCCACUUCCUGCUUUAUUUUCUUGUAUUUCCAGUUUUGUCUUGCCAUGUCUACUUUUGUUUUACUUUCCCAGUCAUGUGAUCUCACCAGUUGUUUUCUAUCAGUCAUUGCUCACCUUUGUCCUGUUCUUAAGCACCGUCUCAGCCAGAGCCCGGUUGCCACAUUGUUAGCGCACGUCAACUGUGUCUACGCUCCCGCAUUCAUCCUAAUCGACGCGCCGACGGCACUGCUCCAGUGGAACAUCUCAUCAUCAUCUCUGUCGGUACUGGUUCGGACUGUCUGGUGAUCGUGAACCAAGUCUGGAGAUGGCCAAUACAAGUGGUCAAUACAAGAAAUUAAGCAGGCUUCAGUGGGCUCCUCUUCUGGCUGACCAGCUCCCCAGCUUUGGAAAAUGUCCUUUCACAGGAAACAGAUGAUGCUGGGAUGCACAGAUACAGUGCUUUCAUGCAAGUUGCCACAACCUUUAACUGAGGAACACUUACAAUACUGUGUGCUCCAUCAGUAACCAUCCACAGACCUUUUCAGUGAGUCCCCACUCUGCAACUGCUGUGUGGGUCAAAGGAAACUACUGCACACCCAAAGGCACAGUAGCCAGAUCUAGGCUGUCUGACACAUGAUGGCAAGUGACACCAAGGCACUGAUGUUCACAUGUCAUCUCUUUGGUUACAGUGUACCUUGCUUCCAUCAUUGUCUUUACAGUUUUGUGGCUUGGAAUGGAGAAUGACAGGUCCAGGAUUUUAAUGAAGCUUUGGAACCCUUCAUCCUCAACGAUAGAUUUAACUAUCAUACCCACCAAGACCUCAACCAGCUUCUGUUUUCCUGAAACUGUGUGGAAGAAAGGUUGCCAUGUGAAUAUGAUACACAUCUACAAAAACACAUACAUAUAUGCAAGUUUAUAUUUAGCUUGCUGUCAGGAUUUCUAGUAUUGACAGGUCACUGGUUUGCCGGGUAUGAUUGAAAUCAUUCCUUACACUGAAGAGUCUCAGCACAUAGGUGCUGAGACUCCCCCUCUCCUAUGUCAUAGGAGACAUAGGAGGGGGCGCGAUGCUGUGAGAGAACGCGAGACUCUGCGAGAACAGCACGAGAAAUUCAACAAGGUGGCGCGACACCGGUAGUAAACAACAGCGCGACAAACUAUCCGCCAACUUAAAUAAAAUAACUACCUUAUUUUACGGAAAAUAAUCAACCACCCUACCAUUCUGGAUAACACCGAAGAAAGUUUCGAGCACAUCGACGAGUGCUUAGAGCGUCUGGUAAUGGUGAAAAAGGACACUGCUCCAAACAAGCAAUCCCGUCCGUCUGACUCACCUGAGUCACCUGGAGCUAGCUCGGCGGAUUAAAACAUCACGGACAUCCUGGAGUCAAUCGAGAAAAAAAAGCUUCGACGCGCUUUUGGCACUAGUGGAACUCCUCCACAAAGAGUUUAUGGCCCUCCGCGACUCCCUGGAAUUCAGCCAGCAGCAGGUGGUUUCUCUCGCCACCGAGAACGAGGCCCUGGAAGGAACGGUGCAGUCCCUGACGGAGGAUGUGGCUCAGCUAGCGGCCGAAAAUAAAAAAAUAAAAGAAGGCAUCAUCGAUCUGCAGGCCCGCAGCAUGAGGGACAACCUGGUGUUCUCGGGGAUUCCAGAACAGGCAGAGGAAAACACGGAAACCACAAUUAAAAACUUCAUUAAACAACAGAUGAAGAUCCCAGCGGAAGUUGUCGACAAGAUGGCGUUCCACCGUUCGCAUAGACUUGGAGGAAGACGACCGGAUGGCCAGCGCCCUCGACCCAUCGUUGCCAAGUUUUAUGACUUUAAGCAGAAGGAACUGGUUAAGAGCUGGGGCAGACAGCUGAAGGGAACCGACUACAGCGUCAACGACCAGUUCCCCAAGGAGAUCCUCGACCGCCGCCGCCGACUGUUCCCCAUCCGUAAGAGGUUCAUGGCAGAAGGCUGCAGGGCUGUCAUCAGCGUCGACAAACUGUACGUCAACGGAGAGCUCUACCGGGACCGGGAAGCAACUCCGUGGCUGUACUAGCAGGUGGCUGACGCAUGCCAGCUACCAAAACGCGAGGAGGUUGCUUCUCAAACUGACACGCGGCUACCUUGUAGAAGAGUAGAAGCGUGCUCACCUCAGGAGAAAAGAGUGGUGUCAAGGAAAACAGCUGCAUCCUCCAUCUGUACAGCAGCUGCACUGCUUCCAAUGUCUUCCAACACGUUAAGAUCCUCACAUCUCCCCAGCCAACUGCCCAUGACUCUACCUGUUCCACUUCAGAAACUAUGCUUUCAACAUAACUAUGAAUCCUACCCGUUCAUUUUGUGGUCUGCAAAUUGAACUGUGACGGUAACUUAUCCAGCAUUAUAGUGCUGGUGCAUUGGUUAAAAAUUAAGUUGGCUUUGACUAUUGCUGUUUCACUGAACUAUUUUUGUAUGUAUAUACCUAAUGAGGGAAAACAGACAGAUGUUUUAUAAUAUUUCAGCUUUUAUUGAGGUAUUGCCACAAAAAAAAUAAUUUAGGUAUUUCACAGGUGGUCUAAGUCCAACAUAGGUGCCUUGUCCCCCAGAAAACACUGCCCUGAUCCAGACCAGGGAAGGUGGGAUGACUUGGACCAUUCGCCCUAGAAGUCCCCAGCACCAGCUGACAAGACUUCUAGGCAAGAUACCUGCAACAACUUGAGAUACACACAGACAUAGUACUGAAAAAAAAACAAUAAUAUCAUUUCUAUUAGUUAUAUAUUGCCACUUGAUAUAUCAUACACCUUACUAAAAGCAAUUAAAAAAUAUUAGGUCAAUAUAUAUUUAGAAACAAAACUAUGUUUGUAAACCAGAGUUCCCAGGUACAUUAUGAUUAAUCUGUAAAUAGUAAAAUGUUCUAAAGUUUUUAUGAAUUUCUGAGAUACUGAUUUAUUCCAUGCAUGUGUAAUUGUCUGAUAUACUGUAUAUUAAAUGUGUUCUGUAAUGAAUACACAUUCAAUCAUACUGGCUCCAGUCCUGGUUCAUCAACCAUACAUGACAGUAGGUUUGGCAACUGGUUCAGGCGCCUUGAGGUAAGAUUUAUCGAAAUUUUAAUUUAUUAAUAAAAGUAAUAAACACAUGCAAUAUCUUGAAAGCAAUAGUUGCUGUCACACCAUGUCUCUGUAGGCAUUCACUGUUCCUACAUUGGCACUUAAUUACAGACAAAUAUGGCAAAAUAUAAGCUGCAGCUGAAGAUCCCAUUAUAGAUAAAUUAUUUUCACACAGCAGCAGAAGGAGAAAGAAAAAAACAUGUAAAAAUGAGUUUAUAUUAGUUUAUCAAGCUAUGCUCCCAAACAAGCUGUAGUCGUGUUAUGAAUAUUCUGUUGUAUUAAUUCAGGCUGCUAAUUUCCAACCAUUAGUAUUAGCGUUAGCAGCUAAUCAAGUUGCGUAUUAUAUAAAAUCAAAUUAAAUUAAACGUGAAUCUGCCAGUUAGACGUACCUUGCGCCAGUCGAAGUGUAACCACUUCAACAGCCUCCCAUUCGACUUCAGAGUCAGAUUUUGGAUCAAACAUAAGGUUGAACUCACUACGAGGACGAGUUAGCCAGUGUCACUGUUACAAUGGAUUCAGUUCCCACGGCUAUGCGCUUCCUCAAAGCGGUGUGGCGAUCAGUUUAGCUUCCGACACACUCGGAAAACAGAGCGUUGUGGACGAGAGCUUAAAACACACAUUUUCAGACGGGUCGUGUGAGCGAUCUACAGCGCUUUUUGGCAUGAAAAGUUACAGACACCUUACUGAGACAUCAAGGUCCAAUUCUUUAGCAAUGUGGAGCAUGAAAAAAGCAUGUGCAUGGACCUUUAAAGUUACAGUGACUGCUGUAAGUUACAGUGACUGCUUUCAAUUAAAUGCACAGUGACUGCUGUCAGUUAAAGUGACUGCUGUCAGUUACAGUCACGGCUGUCAGUUACAUGUACAGCUACUGCUGUCAGUUACAUGUACAGCGACUGCCGUCAGUUACGGCGACUGCCGUCAGUUACGGCGACUGCCGUCAGUUACAUGUACAGUGACUGCUGUCAGACUCCCUGUUAAGAACUACUCCCAUAUUCCCAAUAAAGAAAGCUCCUCCUUCCACUGGCCGGAGGAUGGUACAACCAAGAGCAGUCGUGGUUCCUGAUCCCUACAUUCUGUUGAAUAAUUUACACCCAUAUAAGCAGAUCCUCUCAGUUAUAAAUAUUAGUAAUGCCUUUUGUAGCAUCCCAGUUCUGCCAGAUUCACAAUUUUGGUUUGCGUCUACUUACAAAGGUCAGCAAUGCACGUACACCAGGCUACAAUAAGGUUAUUGCGAAAGCCCGACUAUUUUCUCACAGUGUAUGUCAGCGA
Molecule: long non-coding RNA, 4618 nt
Organism: Betta splendens (Siamese fighting fish)
Lineage: Eukaryota; Metazoa; Chordata; Actinopteri; Anabantiformes; Osphronemidae
Exons: 5
Source: RefSeq, a predicted model, not a curated record